GCGUCGAGUAGUGCGGCGAGCAGGUUGUUGGCUGCACCGACGGCGUGAAUGUCACCGGUAAAGUGGAGGUUCAAGUCCUCCAUCGGCACG
Molecule: transfer RNA, 90 nt
Filed under: uncultured Conexibacteraceae bacterium
Lineage: Bacteria; Bacillati; Actinomycetota; Thermoleophilia; Solirubrobacterales; Conexibacteraceae
Description: tRNA-Ala
Source: RNAcentral